GAUGAAGAACGUAGCGAAAUGCGAUACUUGGUGUGAAUUGCAGAAUCCCGUGAACCAUCGAGUCUUUGAACGCAAGUUGCGCCCGAAGCCAUUAGGCCGAGGGCACGCCUGCCUGGGCGUCACACGUCGUUGCCCCCCCCAUCUACUCCUUCGGGAUUGCGGGGGGCGGAUGAUGGCCUCCCGUGCGCUUCGCCGCGCGGUUGGCAUAAAUGCCAAGUCCUCGGCGACGCACGCCACGACAAUCGGUGGUUGCGAAACCUCGGUUGCCCGUCGUGUGCGGUCGUCGCGCAUCGAGGGCUCGAAAAAAUUGCCGAGUUCCGGCUCGGCUUUCAACGCGACCCCAGGUCAGGCGGGGUUACCCGCUGAAUUUAAGCAUAUCAAUAAGCGGAGGA
Molecule: unclassified non-coding RNA, 392 nt
Filed under: soil metagenome
Description: partial contains 5.8S ribosomal RNA, internal transcribed spacer 2, and large subunit ribosomal RNA
Rfam family: 5.8S ribosomal RNA (bases 1-122)
Source: RNAcentral